Pipra filicauda (Wire-tailed manakin) is the source of this 642-nucleotide long non-coding RNA. RefSeq lists it as uncharacterized. The transcript is spliced from 4 exons. The record is from RefSeq and is a predicted model, not a curated record. Lineage: Eukaryota; Metazoa; Chordata; Aves; Passeriformes; Pipridae.
UACAGUCUCCUACAGCUCUAAAAAUUCAGUUCAUGACCCAGUUAUGGGAGGGAAAUGAAAGAUGUUGCAGUUUGCCCAACUCCACAGAGCAGGAAUGCAGCAGUAUUGAUACAGGUUCCUGGCUGUGAUCAGGCACCAUAUCAUGAGCAGUUAAUGUCAGGUCCAAAUCGUCAGCCGAAACAAGAGGAAGCCACUCUUUAAGGCCGGGAGGGUCUUUCACCGCCCCGCGGGCACCGGUGCUCGUUCACAGCAAGCGCUGCCAUCUGGUGGCAUCUGGGAGAAUGGCAGCCCCGACUUCAGCGGCACGUCAGGGAACGCUGGAAACCUGAGUCAGUUCAGCAAGUUUCUAGUGCAAAUCUGAUAUGGAUGGUUGACCUGAACUCCGGGGGACAAACUCUAAAGAUAGAAGAGGUGGACAGGGUUUCUGCAUGCGGAAAACUGGAUGCCAGAACUUGGAUAAUUCUCUUUCUGUCGGCAUAGCACCCAGCCUUGCAAGACGUGAUGUGGUCUCAAAUGCUGUUAGCGAAUCCGGGGGUCAAAACAACUCAAGCCUUGCACAAUAGGCCUUGCUCUCCUCGUUAAAUAGAAGUACAGAAUUUGUGAGCGCAGCUAUUGUCAUUCCCAUGUAUUUUCGUUGCUUGU